Molecule: unclassified non-coding RNA, 276 nt
Filed under: uncultured Agaricales
Lineage: Eukaryota; Fungi; Basidiomycota; Agaricomycetes; Agaricales
Also listed under: 1 other name
Description: sequence contains ITS2
Source: RNAcentral
AAUUCUCAACUUCAAAAGCUUUGUCUUUCUGAAGCUUGGAUGUGAAGGCUGCUGGCGUCUUAGAUGUUCAGCUCCUUUAAAAUGCAUUAGUGGACCCGUUUGUGUUCAACCUUAGUGUGAUAAUUAUCUACGCUAUGGCUUUGAAUACUUGCUCAUUAGAACUUUUCGGGGUGUUUUUACAUUCUCGGUUUGGAGGGUUGCAUUAGGUUGCUCUCUCUGUCUAUUGAGUUAGGAUUGUCUGCUUCAAACCGUCUGCACUCGUAGACAAUUUGAACC